This 86-nucleotide small RNA is filed under the name Flavobacterium xinjiangense. RNAcentral describes it as "Flavo-1 RNA". It matches the Rfam family "Flavo-1 RNA". Lineage: Bacteria; Pseudomonadati; Bacteroidota; Flavobacteriia; Flavobacteriales; Flavobacteriaceae. The record is from RNAcentral.
UUUUUGCGUGAGGGAUAGAAGUGGAAAUCCUUUUUUAUGCAGCGACAGCGGAAUAAAAAAGAUUGCAGCGAAUAGCCCGACCCUUG